CAAAAACAUGUCUUUUUGAUUAUAAUUUAAAGUCUAACCUGCCCAAUGAGGAGUUAAAUGGCCGCGGUAUUUUGACCGUGCAAAGGUAGCAUAAUCAUUAGUUUUUUAAUUGAAAGCUGGUAUGAAUGGUUGGACGAGAAAAUAACUGUCUCGAUUUAAAUUAAAUUAGAAUUUUAUUUAUGAGUAAAAAAGCUCAUAUGAGUUUAAAAGACGAGAAGACCCUAUAGAAUUUAAUAUAUAUAUGUAUAUAUUAUUUUUAGAAUUAAUAAUAAGUUAUACAUAAUUAUAUUUUGUUGGGGUGAUAGAAAAAUUAAAUUAACUUUUUUUAUAUAAAAACAUUAAUGUAUGAAAAAAUGAUCCGUUAAUUACGAUUAUAAGAUUAAAUUACCUUAGGGAUAACAGCGUAAUUUUUUUUUAGAGUUCUUAUCGAAAAAAGAGUUUGCGACCUCGAUGUUGGAUUAAAAUUAACUUUUGGUGUAGGGGCU
This 485-nucleotide ribosomal RNA is filed under the name Xylotrupes sumatrensis. RNAcentral describes it as "partial large subunit ribosomal RNA". It matches the Rfam family "Bacterial large subunit ribosomal RNA", at positions 1808 to 2563 of the family's 2925-position model. RNAcentral also lists the same sequence under 1 other name. The record is from RNAcentral. Lineage: Eukaryota; Metazoa; Arthropoda; Insecta; Coleoptera; Scarabaeidae.